UACGGAGGUGGCAAGCGUUGUUCGGAUUGACUGGGUGUAAAGGGUGUGUAGGUGUUCCGAUAAGUCAAGCGUGAAAUACUUUGGCUCAACCAAAGAAUUGCGCUUGAUACUGCCGGAAUUGAGUGAAGGAGAGGAGAAUGGAAUUCCCGGUGUAAGGGUGAAAUCUGUAGAGAUCGGGAAGAACACCAGUGGCGAAAGCGAUUCUCUGGCCUUUUACUGACACUGAAACACGAAAGCUAGGGGAG
Molecule: ribosomal RNA, 245 nt
Filed under: uncultured bacterium
Lineage: Bacteria
Description: partial 16S ribosomal RNA
Rfam family: Bacterial small subunit ribosomal RNA
Source: RNAcentral